This 253-nucleotide ribosomal RNA is filed under the name uncultured bacterium. RNAcentral's name for it is "partial 16S ribosomal RNA". It matches the Rfam family "Bacterial small subunit ribosomal RNA", at positions 524 to 776 of the family's 1533-position model. The record is from RNAcentral.
UACGUAGGGGGCUAGCGUUGUCCGGAAUUAUUGGGCGUAAAGAGCGUGUAGGCGGUUCGAUAAGUCUGCUGUGAAAGUCCAGGGCUCAACCCUGGGAUGCCGGUGGAUACUGUCGAGCUCGAGUCCGGAAGAGGCGAGUGGAAUUCCUGGUGUAGCGGUGAAAUGCGCAGAUAUCAGGAGGAACACCAAUUGCGAAGGCAGCUCGCUGGGACGUUACUGACGCUGAGACGCGAAAGCGUGGGGAGCAAACAGG